Molecule: non-coding RNA, 784 nt
Organism: Amborella trichopoda
Lineage: Eukaryota; Viridiplantae; Streptophyta; Magnoliopsida; Amborellales; Amborellaceae
Source: RefSeq, a predicted model, not a curated record
CUUCUACCACACUCCCAACUUGUAAUUGUAUUCCAGAAACCUCUUCCACUCUCCCUCGAUAUAUAUAUAUAUACACGCUUCUCUCUCUGCCUACUUAAUUUACAACGCUAUCUCCCUUUAUAUAUUCCUUUCUCUCUCUGCCUUGGCUUCGGGUUCUGAACUUUGUUAUUCUCGCCUUUCUCUCUCUUUUUCUUUUGCUUUUAUUCGUUCUUCGCUUCUCUCUCUAAAAUUCCUGCCUUCUCCACCCGGCGUUCCCGUCGGUUUUCUUUUAUUUGUGAUUCAGCUCUCUCCUGUCGAAAUCUGUGUUGGUUUUGGAUUUCUUCUUAUGGCGUUGGAAGGUGCACUUUUGACCGUGUCGGUUAUGGCCAUGGGCGCCUUAUUCUUUAACAGGAAUCACCAUCAAGAUCAAAACUGCCAUCGAAAGCCAUACCAAGGUUUGAUGGUUCAGGAUGAGAUUGAAGAAAGGGGCAAGGAAGAGAAGAAAGAGAGGAUUAGGGAUUUGGGAAGGCCAAGAUUCGCACCUGAAUUUGAUGGCUUGUGUUGCUUCGAGACGAUUGUUUCACAUUAGCGACACCCACCUCCCUCCUCCCUCCUAGAAGGUGGCCCAACUGUUUAGGAAUUUUUUCAUACACUUGUACAUCCAUUUAUGGAAGACAGAGAAAAUUAGUUUAAUUUGAUUCUCUCUCUCUUUUUUUAUAAAUUCUUUGGUUAAUUCAUUGUGGAAGCGGUUGAGGGGAUGUAAUUUCGGAUAAUUAUUCUCUCUAUAAAUUAUUUGGUUGAUUCA